UACAGAAGGGGCGAGCGUUGUUCGGAAUUACUGGGCGUAAAGGGCGCGUAGGCGGCCCGCUAAGUCGAACGUGAAAUCCCCAGGCUCAACCUGGGAACUGCGUCCGAUACUGGCAGGCUUGAAUCCGGGAGAGGGAUGUGGAAUUCCAGGUGUAGCGGUGAAAUGCGUAGAUAUCUGGAGGAACACCGGUGGCGAAGGCGGCACACUGGCCGGUACUGACGCUGAGGUGCGAAAGCGUGGGGAGCCAAACA
This 251-nucleotide ribosomal RNA is filed under the name uncultured bacterium. RNAcentral's name for it is "partial 16S ribosomal RNA". It matches the Rfam family "Bacterial small subunit ribosomal RNA", at positions 524 to 775 of the family's 1533-position model. The record is from RNAcentral.